UACAGAGGGUGCGAGCGUUAAUCGGAAUUACUGGGCGUAAAGCGUGCGCAGGCGGUUCGUUGUGUCGGUGGUGAAAUCCCCGGGCUUAACCUGGGAAUGGCCAUGGAAACUGGCGAACUGGAGUGCGGCAGAGGGGGGUGGAAUUCCGCGUGUAGCAGUGAAAUGCGUAGAGAUGCGGAGGAACACCGAUGGCGAAGGCAGCCCCCUGGGCUAGCACUGACGCUCAGGCACGAAAGCGUGGGGAGCAAACAGG
This 253-nucleotide ribosomal RNA is filed under the name uncultured bacterium. RNAcentral describes it as "partial 16S ribosomal RNA". It matches the Rfam family "Bacterial small subunit ribosomal RNA", at positions 524 to 776 of the family's 1533-position model. The record is from RNAcentral.